Molecule: ribosomal RNA, 497 nt
Filed under: uncultured bacterium
Lineage: Bacteria
Description: partial 16S ribosomal RNA
Rfam family: Bacterial small subunit ribosomal RNA
Source: RNAcentral
GAUGAACGCUGGCGGCGUGCCUAAUACAUGCAAGUCGAGCGGACGGGCGAGAAUCUUGCUUCUCGGAUGUUAGCGGCGGGCGGGUGAAUAACACGUGUAUAACCUCCUUAUAAUACGGGUAUAACCUGGGGAAACCGGAGCUUAUACCGGAGAAUCUUUUGAACCGCAUGGUUGAAUAGAGAAAUACGGUGGUGCGGGCACGUAUAGAUGGAUCCCCGCUGCAUUGGCUAGUUGGUAAGGUAACGGCCUAUCAAGGCAACGAUGCAUAGCCGACGGGAGAGGGGGAUCGGCGACACUGGAACUGGGCCACGGACAAGGCUCCUACGAGAGGCAGCAGUAGGGAAUGGUACGCAGUGGGCGAAAGCAUUACGGAGCAACGCCGAGUGAGUGAUGAAGAUGUUCGGAUCGUAAUACUCGGUUACUAGGGAAGAACCUCUGUGGAAGUAAAUGUAGAGAGCGUGACGGUAAUUAGUAAGAAAGCAACGGCUAACUACGUG